This 95-nucleotide transfer RNA is filed under the name Desulfovibrio sp. RNAcentral describes it as "tRNA-Ser". It matches the Rfam family "tRNA". Rfam says of the family: Transfer RNA (tRNA) molecules are approximately 80 nucleotides in length. Their secondary structure includes four short double-helical elements and three loops (D, anti-codon, and T loops). RNAcentral also lists the same sequence under 7 other names. Lineage: Bacteria; Pseudomonadati; Thermodesulfobacteriota; Desulfovibrionia; Desulfovibrionales; Desulfovibrionaceae. The record is from RNAcentral.
GGAGAGGUGGCCGAGUUGGCCGAAGGCGCUCGCCUGCUAAGCGGGUAACGGGGCUUAAACCCUGUUCGAGGGUUCAAAUCCCUCCCUCUCCGCCA